UGUGUAGGCGGUUGAAUUAGUCGAUGGUUAAAGCUCCAGGCUUAACCUGGUAAAAGCCAUCGAAACGGUUCAACUAGAGAAAGUGAGAGGUCUGUGGAACUCAUGGUGUAGGGGUGAAAUCCGUCGAUAUCAUGGGGAACACCGAAGGCGAAGGCAGCAGACUGGCACUUCACUGACGCUGAGACACGAAAGCGUGGGGAUCAAACAGGAUUAGAUACCCUGGUAGUCC
This 229-nucleotide ribosomal RNA is filed under the name uncultured bacterium. RNAcentral describes it as "partial 16S ribosomal RNA". It matches the Rfam family "Bacterial small subunit ribosomal RNA", at positions 568 to 796 of the family's 1533-position model. The record is from RNAcentral.